Molecule: transfer RNA, 75 nt
Filed under: Alosa alosa (allis shad)
Lineage: Eukaryota; Metazoa; Chordata; Actinopteri; Clupeiformes; Clupeidae
Description: tRNA-OTHER
Source: RNAcentral
GCAUCCGUGGCCUACUGGUUAGGGCUUCGGACUUGUAACCGCAGGGUUGCUGGUUCAAACCCGUGACCGGUAGGA